GCUAUAGCGUAUUAGCGUGGCUUACUUGUGUUGCUUACUAACACCAUUUCCGUUUGAUUUGAUUUGUCAAUUAUCAUUUAUGAGUAUCACUUAUAAGUAUGAUUUGACAUAAGAAAUAAUUAUAUAUGCAGUAGUGGUGUGUGUAAAUUGCAAAGCAAGAUUAGAAGUGGGGUUUUCCUAUCUAAAUCCAGAUCAUUAUGCACCAACUUCGUCCUUAUCUCGCACCUUACCACUUUCAAAUCAUAUUUAUGUUUUAAAAAUCAAAUCUUGAAAGCAAGCAAGCAUGCAGUUAAGAGAUUA
Molecule: long non-coding RNA, 300 nt
Organism: Ipomoea nil (Japanese morning glory)
Lineage: Eukaryota; Viridiplantae; Streptophyta; Magnoliopsida; Solanales; Convolvulaceae
Exons: 3
Source: RefSeq, a predicted model, not a curated record